GGCCUAGAUGGGAGGAUCACGACAUCAGGAGACCGAGACCAUCCUGGCUAACACUGAAAAAUGCCAUGGCCUUGUUUCUCAUAGCAGGUAAAGAAGAACCAAAGAAUUCACUGGUACUAACAAUUAAACCUAUGCCCUCUGAGAUCUCAUGGGAUUCCUUACCCCAUCACCAUGUGCACCUCAGAAACUUUCCAAGCGCUGGACACCUUCGAAGCCAGAC
Molecule: long non-coding RNA, 220 nt
Filed under: Homo sapiens (human)
Lineage: Eukaryota; Metazoa; Chordata; Mammalia; Primates; Hominidae
Description: non-protein coding lnc-CEBPZ-2:1
Source: RNAcentral